UACGGGGGGGGCAAGCGUUGUUCGGAAUUACUGGGCGUAAAGGGCGCGUAGGCGGCCAACUAAGUCAGACGUGAAAUCCCUCGGCUCAACCGGGGAACUGCGUCUGAUACUGGAUGGCUUGAAUUCGGGAGAGGGAUGCGGAAUUCCAGGUGUAGCGGUGAAAUGCGUAGAUAUUGGGAAGAACACCGGUGGCGAAGGCGGCUCACUGGCUCAUAUCUGACGCUCAGGCGCGACAGCGUGGGGAUCAAACAGG
This 253-nucleotide ribosomal RNA is filed under the name uncultured bacterium. RNAcentral's name for it is "partial 16S ribosomal RNA". It matches the Rfam family "Bacterial small subunit ribosomal RNA", at positions 524 to 776 of the family's 1533-position model. The record is from RNAcentral.